AUAGGAGGUAUUACUAUGUACAUAUAUACGGAGUGUUUGCGAUUUUCUACUCAGUUUCAUUGCAAAGUCAUAGUAUUAAUUUCAAUAAAUAUUUAUAUCUACGUUAAAACAUUGGCAUCAACAAUGAUGGAAAACCGACCUAAGCUAUUAAUCAAUCGCAACAAUUUAUUGAGCGAGAAGAGUCCACCACCAUCAAAACUUUUACUGAAUCAUGGAAAACCAAAUUUUACCAUAGUGAAAUCAUCAAAAAUCAUUUCUCCACCACCAACCGAGGAAAGUAUUUUUUCUGGAACAGAUCUGAAACCGAGUGCAUUGAAAAGAAGGUCACCACCAAAAGUUAUCCAUAGCAACGGGUCAGUGAAUGGAUCGACAAAUGGUUCGGCCUCAAGCGAUGAAUUCCUCAGAUUGCAUAAGAAAAUUGGAGGAAAGAACUUCGAUGAAAUUGACAACAAUAAUGUCAUCAAUUGUCCUAGCAUGAAUGGUAAUCCAAGUGUUGCUGUCGCGAAGGAGAGCCCACAUGCAGACCAACAUUUUGCUACUUUACAGAGGAAUUGUAUCUUAACUCUCAAGCAUCCAAGCGAAACCAAUGGUUUUACGAAUAAAUCUGAUAUCGACAAUCAAAUGAAUGGAACCGCACUGAAGUCUCCUACUCCAGAAAAGCCAUCCACACCAGAGAAACCAGAUUUUUUGAAACAAUCCACUCCGAGUCCAGUAUCCAGAAGUCCACCGCCUUUAUCAAAGCAAAAUUCCCCCUUUAAUCAAUCCAUGGAAAGCGUGACUAGCCCCUCCGCUGUGAAUUUUGAACAGAGAACUGUUGUUUCUUUUUCACGGGAUCUAUCUGUUACCCCAAAUAGAUAUCCAGAUACCGUGAAAACAACGAAAACCGUAGAUGCUAAUGGUGGAAUUAGUUCGUUGCCAAAAGAAUUUGCAUCACUGAAAUUUGAAAUUGCCCCUGAUGGGGAGUUGAUUCGGCCGGUGAAGAAAAAUGCCGCUUGAAUGUAUUAUGAUUUCGAAGAGGAAUUGUUUAUAAGAAAUGUUGAAAAGUUGCACGAGAAAUCUGCAAUCGUGAAGUAUGCAUGUGAUAUAUGUUAUAUAAUAACCCUUGGCCGAGCCAAGUGGAUAUCCUUAUGGUAGCGCUGGAAUACCCAUCCUUGAUACAAACUAAAUAUUUAGUUAUUUAUUGAGUAUCAUGAAUGUCUAACCGUCAGGUGAAAGCACUCUUGGAUGCAGUGCUCAGUCACCGAAUUAUGAAUACAUAAAUUGCGAGAAGAAAUUCUACCUCGGGAACAAUAUUCUUCAUUCACCAUGGAUUAAAUACUGGAUACUUUAAGGUUCUUGAUUUGCAUUGCUUCGACUCAGCAUUUGGACGUCAUAUUAAAUGUGGAUCAAACUAUCUGAGAUGCGAUUGUUUUGAGAACUAGCACUUACGCUUUUUUAUGGCGGAAGGACUAUAUUUUUUGGUGGAUUAGCUUUACUAGCGUCAGUUUUUAAUGCUUGCAUAGAUAUGAAAACAAAUCAUGACACUGUUUUUAUCAGAGAAAACAGAAAUUUAAAUUUAAUAUUUCUAUUUUAAGAAGCAGCAAUCUUUUGUAUAUCUGUUUUGAAAUAUUAUCUUAUUGGAGUUUUAAAUGGCUGAAUACUUUUGGAACUAUAAAGGAUUAAUUUAGCGCUUGAAAAACUUAUAAUCUAUAAGCAAUCUAUAGAAUUUCAAACUAAGAAUAUUAAGAUGUGCAAUUAUUAAUGAAUAUAAAAUUUUUAAUAAAAUCGUUAGAAAAAA
Molecule: unclassified non-coding RNA, 1777 nt
Filed under: Hermetia illucens (black soldier fly)
Lineage: Eukaryota; Metazoa; Arthropoda; Insecta; Diptera; Stratiomyidae
Description: uncharacterized LOC119655091, transcript variant X5
Source: RNAcentral